Gadus morhua (Atlantic cod) is the source of this 58-nucleotide microRNA precursor. Ensembl annotates it as gmo-mir-148. Its record names the gene gmo-mir-148. The record is from Ensembl. NCBI's taxonomy places the organism in Eukaryota, Metazoa, Chordata, Actinopteri, Gadiformes, Gadidae.
AAGUUCUGUGAUACACUCAGACUGUAAUUGACGGUAGUCAGUGCAUUACAGAACUUUG